Molecule: long non-coding RNA, 272 nt
Filed under: Lathyrus oleraceus (garden pea)
Lineage: Eukaryota; Viridiplantae; Streptophyta; Magnoliopsida; Fabales; Fabaceae
Description: Pisum sativum (pea) long non-coding RNA (PSAT_LNC036493)
Source: RNAcentral
CACAAUAUACCCACCAAGUUAAUUAAUAUAAUUAUUUAAUUAUAUCUCAUAUCAACUAAAUAAUUAAUUAACACACCAAAUUAAUUAAUAUAAUCAAUUAUUAUACUACCUAACAACCAAUUAAUUAAUUAACACUCCAAAUACAAAUUAAUUAAUAUAAUCAAUUAUUAUACUACCUAACAACCAAUUAAUUAAUUAACACUCCAAAUAAAUAAAAUAAAAUAUAGUAAUAAUAAUAUAAGAAAUAAAUACUAAAAUUGGGUUGUUACAAC